Molecule: ribosomal RNA, 333 nt
Filed under: Triticum aestivum (bread wheat)
Lineage: Eukaryota; Viridiplantae; Streptophyta; Magnoliopsida; Poales; Poaceae
Description: partial small subunit ribosomal RNA
Source: RNAcentral
AUGGAGGAGCGACCGCAUGCUACAGCCGGAGCUAGACAAGCAUGGAGGGGAGCGAGCACGAGCAGCACGCGGAUUGAUGCAGGCGACCGAAGCGAGGCCCUACGGGCGGCGCACGCGUGGACGGGCGGCAGCGUCGCAACGGCGGCGGUGAAGAAGGCGCAACCGACGGCGAGGACACGCCACCCCUCGCGUCCGCUCCGGGGGCGUGUCGGUGUCGAGCCCCCGAGCGCUACCGGAGAGACGGCGCGACGCCGCGGUGACGACAAAGAUGGCGAGGCCGAUGGCAAGGACGCGCCGCCCCUCGUGGCCACUCCGGGGGCGGGUCGAUGUUGA